Molecule: ribosomal RNA, 78 nt
Filed under: Vairimorpha necatrix
Lineage: Eukaryota; Fungi; Microsporidia; Nosematidae
Also listed under: 1 other name
Description: partial small subunit ribosomal RNA
Rfam family: Microsporidia small subunit ribosomal RNA
Source: RNAcentral
GCUACUUGAACAAUAUGUAUUAGAUCUGAUAUAAGUCGUAACAUGGUUGCUGUUGGAGAACCAUUAGCAGGAUCAUAA